Molecule: long non-coding RNA, 718 nt
Filed under: Homo sapiens (human)
Lineage: Eukaryota; Metazoa; Chordata; Mammalia; Primates; Hominidae
Description: HSALNT0355189
Source: RNAcentral
CCCUAAGGCCAUGAUGAAGACGCUUGUCUUUAUCCAGCACAGGUUUGUGCUCAGAAGCCCCUACACCAGCUGCUGCGUGAUGGAGAACAGGAGUCAAAGCACGGAGGCCGGCAGAAAAUCAAGAGGCCGGUCCUGUGCAUGGGCAAGAGGCCUCAGGGAUAUAUUAGCUGAGGAGGAAGCCGAGGUUGGGAAAGGUGGAGGGACUUGCCCAAGUCACACAAACGACAACUCAGCAGAGCUGAGAAUUGGCACCCAGGGCAACUGGAGUCCAUCCUGAGCUUGUCACUGCUGGGCUCUGAGACCUCCUGGUGAAGAAGGACAGUGGCAGAGACAGCCCGACCCAGAGAAACCCAGCAACGCUACUUUCUAAGGGCAUUUUUCCCUCUCAUUUGGAAUCCUGAGCCUCCUGCUCGUCCUGUAGGCCACACCCAGCAAACAGGUGGGUUUCAUUUCCUGGAGAAACCACAGAUGGAAAGUCCCAGCCAUGGGCUCCGUGUGACCUGGUGGCCUUAAGAAGCUCCCCCCACCGCCCCUCAGCCCUUUAAUCAUUUACAAAGCAGGGCCACACAGAGCAUCUAUUUUCUUUCUGGAACAUCAGAGCUGGCUGGGAACUGGGAGAAGAGCUGGAGCAACAGCCUGCAUCCAUUUCCUCUUGCUGCAAUAACAACUGAUCACAAGAUGGAGUCUCACUCUGUCAACCAGGCUGGAGUGCACUGGC